Molecule: transfer RNA, 74 nt
Filed under: Stegodyphus mimosarum
Lineage: Eukaryota; Metazoa; Arthropoda; Arachnida; Araneae; Eresidae
Rfam family: tRNA
About the family: Transfer RNA (tRNA) molecules are approximately 80 nucleotides in length. Their secondary structure includes four short double-helical elements and three loops (D, anti-codon, and T loops). Further hydrogen bonds mediate the characteristic L-shaped molecular structure. tRNAs have two regions of fundamental functional importance: the anti-codon, which is responsible for specific mRNA codon recognition, and the 3' end, to which the tRNAs corresponding amino acid is attached (by aminoacyl-tRNA synthetases). tRNAs cope with the degeneracy of the genetic code in two manners: having more than one tRNA (with a specific anti-codon) for a particular amino acid; and 'wobble' base-pairing, i.e. permitting non-standard base-pairing at the 3rd anti-codon position.
Source: Rfam by way of RNAcentral
GCCUUCGUGGCGUAAUUGGAAGGCACGUUCGACUACUAAUCGGAAGAUCCAGAGUUCCAGUUUCUGCAAGAGCA